AGCGAAGCGGGAAGAGCUCAAAUUUAUAAUCUGGCACCUUCGGUGUCCGAGUUGUAAUCUCUAGAAAUAUUUUCCGCGUUGGACCGCACACAAGUCUGUUGGAAUACAGCGGCAUAGUGGUGAGACCCCCGUAUAUGGUGCGGACGCCCAGCGCUUUGUGAUACAUUUUCGAAGAGUCGAGUUGUUUGGGAAUGCAGCUCAAAUUGGGUGGUAAAUUCCAUCUAAAGCUAAAUAUUGGCGAGAGACCGAUAGCGAACAAGUACCGUGAGGGAAAGAUGAAAAGCACUUUGGAAAGAGAGUUAACAGUACGUGAAAUUGUUGGAAGGGAAACGCUUGAAGUCAGACUUGCUUGCCGAGCAAUCGGUUUGCAGGCCAGCAUCAGUUUUCCGGGAUGGAUAAUGGUAGAGAGAAGGUAGCAGUUUCGGCUGUGUUAUAGCUCUCUGCUGGAUACAUCUUGGGGGACUGAGGAACGCAGUGUGCCUUUGGCGGGGGUUUCGACCUCUUCACACUU
This 511-nucleotide ribosomal RNA is filed under the name Rhodotorula mucilaginosa. Its description in RNAcentral is "eukaryotic LSU rRNA". It matches the Rfam family "Eukaryotic large subunit ribosomal RNA", at positions 92 to 618 of the family's 3401-position model. Lineage: Eukaryota; Fungi; Basidiomycota; Microbotryomycetes; Sporidiobolales; Sporidiobolaceae. The record is from RNAcentral.